Molecule: transfer RNA, 55 nt
Filed under: Fragilariopsis kerguelensis
Lineage: Eukaryota; Bacillariophyta; Bacillariophyceae; Bacillariales; Bacillariaceae
Description: partial tRNA
Rfam family: tRNA
About the family: Transfer RNA (tRNA) molecules are approximately 80 nucleotides in length. Their secondary structure includes four short double-helical elements and three loops (D, anti-codon, and T loops).
Source: RNAcentral
AUUAGCUUAGUGGUAGAGCAUUCGAUUCGUAAUCGAAAGGUCCGUAGUUCAAUCC